RNAcentral lists this ribosomal RNA (86 nucleotides) under Salmonella enterica subsp. enterica serovar Dublin. Lineage: Bacteria; Pseudomonadati; Pseudomonadota; Gammaproteobacteria; Enterobacterales; Enterobacteriaceae. The record is from RNAcentral.
GACCCCAUGCCGAACUCAGAAGUGAAACGCUGUAGCGCCGAUGGUAGUGUGGGGUCUCCCCAUGCGAGAGUAGGGAACUGCCAGGC